GAUGAACGCUGGCGGCGUGCCUAAUACAUGCAAGUAGAACGCUGAAGCUUGGUGCUUGCACCGAGCGGAUGAGUUGCGAACGGGUGAGUAACGCGUAGGUAACCUGCCUCUUAGCGGGGGAUAACUAUUGGAAACGAUAGCUAAUACCGCAUAAAAGUCGAUAUCGCAUGAUAUUGAUUUGAAAGGUGCAAAUGCAUCACUAAGAGAUGGACCUGCGUUGUAUUAGCUAGUUGGUGAGGUAACGGCUCACCAAGGCGACGAUACAUAGCCGACCUGAGAGGGGGAUCGGCCACACUGGGACUGAGACACGGCCCAGACUCCUACGGGAGGCAGCAGUAGGGAAUCUUCGGCAAUGGGGGCAACCCUGACCGAGCAACGCCGCGUGAGUGAAGAAGGUUUUCGGAUCGUAAAGCUCUGUUGUAAGAGAAGAACGAGUGUGAGAGUGGAAAGUUCACACUGUGACGGUAACUUACCAGAAAGAGACGGCUAACUACGUG
RNAcentral lists this ribosomal RNA (497 nucleotides) under uncultured bacterium. RNAcentral describes it as "partial 16S ribosomal RNA". It matches the Rfam family "Bacterial small subunit ribosomal RNA", at positions 28 to 507 of the family's 1533-position model. The record is from RNAcentral.